Molecule: RNA transcript, 2040 nt
Organism: Phycodurus eques (leafy seadragon)
Lineage: Eukaryota; Metazoa; Chordata; Actinopteri; Syngnathiformes; Syngnathidae
Gene: meaf6
Gene name: MYST/Esa1-associated factor 6
Exons: 7
Source: RefSeq, a predicted model, not a curated record
GAUCCAUCAUGGCGAUGCACGCUAAGGCUACUCCGCCGCAGAUCCCGGACACCCGCCGGGAGCUUGCCGAACUGGUGAAGAGGAAACAAGAGCUUGCAGAGACGCUUGUGAAUUUGGAACGACAAAUAUACGCCUUUGAAGGCAGUUACCUAGAAGACACUCAAAUGUAUGGCAACAUCAUCAGAGGAUGGGACAGAUACCUUACCAACCAAAAGAACUCUAAUAGUAAGACUGAUAGAAGAAAUCGAAAAUUCAAGGAGGCAGAGCGUCUAUUCAGCAAGUCAUCAGUCACAUCAGUAGCAGCAGUGUGUGCACUUGGCGGGAUACCAGAUCACAUGAACGAAAAACGUGAGGCGGGCAGCGGCACAGAAAGCGACGCCUCUCCGGACCUCCAGAACCAAGAGAACGAACCCAGCCAGGAGGACACAGAGGAUGUCGACUCCAGCCUCCAGGACUUGAAACCCCAAAAAGCUGCCUCCUCCUCUUCAUCUGGCAGCCAUCACGGAAGCCAUAAGAAGAGGAAGAACAAAAAUAGGCACAGAUGUCUGGUGGAGUACCAAGACUGAUGUGUGAGAGGCGACACGGUGCCACGGAGGCAUCAAUGCUGCCAGAAAAUGCAAAGAAGAAAGAGUAGGAAUACAAGUUAGGCUAAUUGUUCGCUUUUCUGGUAACCAAUGUUCCCUUGGUUAUUCACUGUUCGUUCCUUGCAAAUUCACUUAUUCACGGAUUUAAAAAAAAUAAUAAUACAAAUUUUUAACAAUGUGUUUAAAGUCUGUUUUAAUAGGUAAAUCUAAAAAUGCCCAAAAGUGAAAGAAAUUAGACUGUUCAUUGUGGAUUUUUCACCUUUUGCAGGUGGGUCUGGAAUGUAUCCCCCAUGAUAUUUGAGGUUCACUGUAUGUCAUAUGCAUACAAUAUAAAAAAAAUAACAUUGGCCCUGUGGAGGUACAGGAUUUUUACCCAAGCUAGUUGUAACUACGAGGUCAGCACAGUUAUACAGGGUGUAAUUUUUUUUUAAUUUUUCAUAUUUUCGGGCAUUCCUCCUCUCACUACAUAUUAACCCAGCAGGCUCUCCUGCUAACGCACUGAGGCGACGCGUGUGUGUCACUCUGGACUACUGUUGGGGUUCAGACUUUGGUUGGUGAACUCACUAACAGCUGCUGAUCAUUUCCUUCCCCUGUUGUAAUGCUGACUCCUCCCCCUUCCCCCCCAGCCCUUCUGCCAUGUUUGAUUAUGACUUUGAGUAAGUUCUGAAUUUUACUUCCUGCUGGUCUGCACAACCUGUCUGCUUCUAACCGCAUCCCGUACUCGUCUCCUCUCUGUCGAGUUGAAGUCUGCUAGUUUUUGAGUCAUGCUUGCAUGUCUUCGACUGCUUCUCAGCAUCCAUCACCCCUCAUUGCUUGCUACUGGGCCGGCGUCACGUCUUUUCUGAUAACUCAUGCAGUGUGCUCUUGUCAAAAGCAGUGCUGUUCUUGUAAGAUGAUGGGCUGGCUGGCUUCAAGUUUGUCUGCAGAAAAAAAAGAAAAAAACAAUCUCAAAGUUUAGCGUUUUUGCUAUGGUUUGGUUGUUAGGCUCCCUCAUGGUACAGUAGUGGCACCGCUUUUUGUCAUUGCUCUUAGACGUUCACCACUCCUCAUAUCUAAACCCAGCCUCUCUUUGUUGCCCAUGCAGGUUCGACAUGAAAGUGAACAAAAAACCGAGAGCUGAAUACUCCACCUGAAAAAGACAAGAUGUGGAUGAGAGACUUUGUGAACGUCAUAUGGCUUCCCCCCCCCAGUUGUCAUAUUGCUGCUGUGAUGCGUGUUCUGCUCAAAACAUUCCCCAGCUUCCUGGCGUCCUGCAUGUUACUCCACACCAGCCAGUAACAUUUUGUAAAGUGUUUAAAAAAGACUAUUUAUUUUGUAGGCAAGCAACAUAUUUUCCUUUUUUUAUUUUUUUGUGAACUCCAUGUUAUUGUGAAUCCCCUUCAAUCAUCUGUAUUUUUAUUUUGUGGUGUUUUUCAAGAAAAUAAAAUACCAUAUGUGGGUAUUUUUUUAAUUAAAA